This 315-nucleotide ribosomal RNA is filed under the name uncultured marine eukaryote. RNAcentral describes it as "SSU rRNA". It matches the Rfam family "Eukaryotic small subunit ribosomal RNA", at positions 672 to 986 of the family's 1831-position model. The record is from RNAcentral.
AGUGCUACUGCUCCAUAGUCCGUAGUUUUGCCAGAGGUCUCGGGGUGCUCUUAACCGAGUGUCCCGCGAUGCUGGCAGGUUUACUUUGAAAAAAUUAGAGUGCUCAAAGCAGGCUUUUACGCCUGAAUAUUCGUGCAUGGAAUAAUAGAAUAGGAAGUCGUUUCUAUUUUGUUGGUUUUCGGAAAUCGACUUAAUGAUUAAUAGGGACAGUCGGGGGCAUUCGUAUUCAAACGACAGAGGUGAAAUUCUUGGACCGUUUGAAGACAAACUACUGCGAAAGCAUUUGCCAAGAAUGUUUUCAUUAAUCAAGAACGA